CCCUUAGAUGUUCUGGGCCGCACGCGCGCUACACUGAUGCAUUCAACGAGCCUAUCCUUGACCAACAGGUCCGGGUAAUCUUUGAAUCUGCAUCGUGACGGGGAUAGAUUAUUGCAAUUAUUAAUCUUCAACGAGGAAUGCCUAGUAGGCGCAAGUCAUCAGCUUGCGUCGAUUACGUCCCUGCCCUUUGUACACACCGCCCGUCGCUCCUACCGAUUGGGUGUGCUGGUGAAAUGUUCGGAUCGGCCGUUUGUCGCGGUUUCCGCGUCAUGUGGCUGAGAAGUUCAUUAAACCCUCCCACCGAGAGGAAGGAGAAGUCGUAACA
This 325-nucleotide ribosomal RNA is filed under the name uncultured eukaryote. Its description in RNAcentral is "partial 18S ribosomal RNA". It matches the Rfam family "Eukaryotic small subunit ribosomal RNA", at positions 1470 to 1796 of the family's 1831-position model. The record is from RNAcentral.